AUGGUCCUCAGAGAUAUCAGGGAUAUGUUGCAAUCCAUGGGAAAAGAUAUUACAAGCUAUGGACUUCCGGAUUUGGUUGAGAACGAUGGUUCUUCUGAUGGUGAGUACAAAGAGGUAACAGAGGAGAGGCAAGUCAGCGUGGACAAAGAACACCUAGAUUUAUUUAGUAGUUUGAACAAUGAACAGCUGGCUGGUUUCAAUGAAAUCAUGGAUCAUGUGAUGGAACACAAAAGCCAGAUAUUCUUUGUUGAUGGUCCAGGAGGCACCGGCAAGACAUACUUGUACAAGGCAUUGCUUGCAAAGGUGCGUUCGAUGGGCCAGAUAGCGAUUGCAACUGCUACAUCAGGUAUAGCGGCGUCAAUAAUGCCCGGAGGACGGACUGCGCACUCCAGGUUCAAAAUUCCAAUCAAGCUCACUGACAACAUCAUGUGUAGUUUCACAAAGCAGAGUGGUACAGCGGAGUUGCUUAAACAAGCCUCCUUGAUAAUUUGGGACGAGGUCGCUAUGACAAAACGUCAAGCAGUUGAGACGCUUGAUAGAUCCCUGCAGGACAUAAUGGACUGUUCUUUGCCAUUUGGGGGAAAGGUUGUCGUCUUUGGUGGGGAUUUCAGGCAGGUCCUCCCCGUUGUGACACGUGGGACAAGAGCACAGAUCACGGAUGCUACACUUCUAAGAUCCUAUCUGUGGGAGAAGACCCGGAAGAUACGCCUCACGUGCAAUAUGCGAGCACAGGCUGAUCCUUGGUUCUCUGAAUACCUCCUACGGAUCGGCAAUGGAACAGAAGAGACAAUUGGCGACGACUAUGUGCGUCUCCCUGACGACAUUGUGAUCGGCUAUACCGAGGAUGAGAAAGCUAUUAACACACUCAUCGACAAUGUCUUCCCAUCGUUGCAUGCCAAUGCUAGAUCGAGAGAGUAUAUGAGCACACGUGCUAUUCUUUCCACCAAGAACGAUCAUGUUGAUGACCUGAAUGACAAGAUGAUCUCCAGGUUUCCAGGCUCAGAAAAGUUAUACCAUAGCUUCGACUCCAUCGAGGAUGACUUGCAGAAUAAUUACACGAUUGAUUUUCUAAACUCGAUCACACCAAAUGGCUUGCCCCGCAUGUGUUGA
RNAcentral lists this ribosomal RNA (1110 nucleotides) under Triticum aestivum (bread wheat). RNAcentral's name for it is "partial small subunit ribosomal RNA". The record is from RNAcentral. Lineage: Eukaryota; Viridiplantae; Streptophyta; Magnoliopsida; Poales; Poaceae.